CAGAUAUUAGUUUAUAAAAAUUUUAAUUUUGGAGAUUAAAGAAGAGAUUAGUCUUAUAUCUGA
This 63-nucleotide transfer RNA is filed under the name Phyllotreta variipennis. Its description in RNAcentral is "tRNA-Pro". Lineage: Eukaryota; Metazoa; Arthropoda; Insecta; Coleoptera; Chrysomelidae. The record is from RNAcentral.